AACUUUAUAGUCAUGAAAUGAUAUUAGACUGCAAUUCUGAAGGAGUAGAAAACUACUAAGGUUU
Molecule: transfer RNA, 64 nt
Filed under: Xizicus maculatus
Lineage: Eukaryota; Metazoa; Arthropoda; Insecta; Orthoptera; Tettigoniidae
Description: tRNA-Cys
Source: RNAcentral